CCUACGGGGUGCAGCAGUGAGGAAUAUUGGUCAAUGGGCGCGAGCCUGAACCAGCCAAGUAGCGUGAAGGAUGACUGCCCUACGGGUUGUAAACUUCUUUUAUAAAGGAAUAAAGUGAGGCACGUGUGCCUUUUUGAGUUUACUUUAUGAAUAAGGAUCGGCUAACUCCGUCCCAGCAGCCGCGGUAAUACGGAGGAUCCGAGCUUUAUCCGGAUUUAUUGGGUUUAAAGGGAGCGAGGAUGGUUGUUAAGUCAGUUGUGAAAGUUUGCGGCUCAACCGUAAAAUUGCAAUUGAUACUGGCAGUCUUGAGUGCAGGUGAGGUAGGCGGAAUUCGUGGUGUAGCGGUGAAAUGCUUAGAUAUCACGAAGAACUCCGAUUGCGAAGGCAGCUUACUAACCUGCCACUGACAUUGAUGCUCGAAAGUGUGGGUAUCAAACAGGAUUAGAUACCCCAGUAGUC
This 459-nucleotide ribosomal RNA is filed under the name uncultured bacterium. Its description in RNAcentral is "partial 16S ribosomal RNA". It matches the Rfam family "Bacterial small subunit ribosomal RNA", at positions 338 to 795 of the family's 1533-position model. The record is from RNAcentral.